Molecule: ribosomal RNA, 40 nt
Filed under: Porites lobata
Lineage: Eukaryota; Metazoa; Cnidaria; Anthozoa; Scleractinia; Poritidae
Description: partial 28S ribosomal RNA
Source: RNAcentral
UCUUGACCUCAGAUCAGGCAAGGCUACCCGCUGUAUUUAA